RNAcentral lists this ribosomal RNA (253 nucleotides) under uncultured bacterium. Its description in RNAcentral is "partial 16S ribosomal RNA". It matches the Rfam family "Bacterial small subunit ribosomal RNA", at positions 524 to 776 of the family's 1533-position model. The record is from RNAcentral.
UACGGAGGGUGCGAGCGUUGUCCGGAAUCACUGGGCGUAAAGGGCGCGUAGGCGGCCUGAUAAGUAGGGGGUGAAAUCCUGCGGCUUAACCGCAGGGCUGCCUUCUAAACUGUCAGGCUGGAGCACAGUAGAGGCAGGUGGAAUUCCCGGUGUAGCGGUGGAAUGCGUAGAGAUCGGGAAGAACAUCAGUGGCGAAGGCGGCCUGCUGGGCUGCUGCUGACGCUGAGGCGCGACAGCGUGGGGAGCAAACAGG